RNAcentral lists this ribosomal RNA (230 nucleotides) under uncultured bacterium. RNAcentral describes it as "partial 16S ribosomal RNA". It matches the Rfam family "Bacterial small subunit ribosomal RNA", at positions 562 to 791 of the family's 1533-position model. The record is from RNAcentral.
AAAGCGCGCGUAGGUGGUUCGUUAAGUUGGAUGUGAAAUCCCCGGGCUCAACCUGGGAACUGCAUCCAAAACUGGCGAGCUAGAGUAUGGUAGAGGGUGGUGGAAUUUCCUGUGUAGCGGUGAAAUGCGUAGAUAUAGGAAGGAACACCAGUGGCGAAGGCGACCACCUGGACUGAUACUGACACUGAGGUGCGAAAGCGUGGGGAGCAAACAGGAUUAGAUACCCGAGU